Saccostrea echinata is the source of this 874-nucleotide long non-coding RNA. RefSeq lists it as uncharacterized. The transcript has 2 exons. The record is from RefSeq and is a predicted model, not a curated record. Lineage: Eukaryota; Metazoa; Mollusca; Bivalvia; Ostreida; Ostreidae.
UUUACAUUUUUUACCGAAAGAAAUUUAGCGAUUUUUAACGAAUUUCGCUUUGUCAAAUUCCAAUCGUAAAAUUGAAAACAAAAAUGGCGACACAGUGAAAGUUGGAAGUAAAUCUUGCGAAGUUAUCGUAACAGAGUUGUUUGACAAAGGCUAGCUGCCCACUGCAAUCCAGAUAAUUCUUAUGAGGUAUUGCUUGCACCCAACGAUGCGAUGAUUUUCCCAUUUCCGAAGCGAUUUCGGAAGAAGAGCCCCAAUGUGUUCAACGUGUGAGCAAGGAAACGUGAUGGACAAUGAACAUGAUGAAGUUUAUGACAAACCCAGACGAAAAUUUAUCAUGUUUCCUGUGAAUAUUUCAGCAAAAAUAUUAUGCUUUAAGUUGUAAAAGCCGUUUCCAAGGAACCAUCAGAUCAUCAGUACACUACCAUGACUCAGAGGGCCAAUGAUAGUAAACACUGCAGUAAGUCCACCAGGGAUUGAUGGCAAAAAAAAAGAAUAUUUUGAAGAAUGAUUUGGAUAUGCUGGCCUCCUCUUUGGACCUAAAUCCAGCUGAUGAAAUUCUAUCUGAAAAAAUAGUGAGAAGCCAAGAACUAAUAAUCAACUUCUGUAAAUCAGACAGUGGUGUUAAAACCUGUGUGAUGAAGUGUGCCAAAUUCAUUGAUCACAUACUUGUACAUUUUUAAGUUAUCUCCCAUGUAGAUCUAAAAAGUAAUGUACAGAGUUUAAAGUGGACUUCAAGUGCUUUAUGUAUUGUACAUGAUUACAUUGAGAUGUAUGAAAAUUGAAAUGCAUGCCUGCUCUUUUGUACAGUCUUAAAACUGUUCAUAUGAUUGUCCACAUAAUUGAUUUUGUCAAAUAAAUGAACACAUAUAUUUUA